Molecule: ribosomal RNA, 774 nt
Filed under: uncultured Neocallimastigales
Lineage: Eukaryota; Fungi; Neocallimastigomycota; Neocallimastigomycetes; Neocallimastigales
Description: partial large subunit ribosomal RNA
Rfam family: Eukaryotic large subunit ribosomal RNA
Source: RNAcentral
UAUCUCUGUAGAGUCUGCAUAUCAAUAAGCGGAGGAAAAGAAACUAACAAGGAUUCCCCUAGUAACGGCGAGUGAAGCGGGAAGAGCUCAAAUUUGAAAUCUUCAAGGUUUGACCUUGACGAAUUGUAGUUUAAAGAAGUGUUUUCGGUUAGAGGAGUAGUAAAAGUUCUUUGGAAUAGGACAUCAUAGAGGGUGAGAAUCCCGUAUUUGACUAUUCUUUCUAGCUUUGUGAUACACUUUCAAAGAGUCGGAUUGUUUGGGAAUGCAGUCCAAAAUGGGUGGUAAAUUUCAUCUAAAGCUAAAUAUUGGCGAGAGGCCGAUAGCGAACAAGUACCGUGAGGGAAAGAUGAAAAGAACUUUGAAAAGAGAGUUAAACAGUACGUGAAAUUGUCAAAAGGGAAGCGUUUGACACCAGUGUUGUUUUUCCGAAAAUCAAUUAAAAAUUGAUUCAUGCCAGGUUGUAUUGACCUUAUCAGCUUGCAAUUUGGUUUUGGGUCUCUUUUUGAUGCACUUUUCGGUUAACAAGUCAACAUCAAUUUCCUUUGCUGUAAAAAGGUAAGAGGAAGGUGGCUUCAAUUUCGGUUGAAGUGUUUAUAGCCUUUUAUCUCUGCAGUCGGGGAGAUUGAGGUCUGCAGCGUAGAUCCUUCGGGGCUAGAUACAUUUAUGCUAAGUUAUAGCUUUUCAUAGACAACUUGUUGACUAUGUUUAGUCAUGUAGCUUACUCGUAAGUGCUAUUUUACCUACGCUUAGGAUGUUGAAGACUCUACAGAGAUA